AUGAGCAGGAAGGCGGUGGAGCUGCACUGGGGCAAGAACCACCCGCUGUAUGGCCACACCCUCGAGGACCUCAUCAAGGAGGCUUACAACAACAGCAACCCGCUAUCCGAGAGCAACGAUGCGACCGAGGAAUCGAUGCAGCCGGAAGGCGGUGGCUCUCCCGAGGCAGGUGCGCUGCAGCAGAUCGAGAAGGAUUUCGGCUCCUUUAAAUUUAGGGAGGAGUUCAUGCGCUCGGCAUUGUCAUUGUUGGGGUCCGGUUGGAUUUGGCUUGUCUUGAAGAGAAGCGAGAGGAAACUCAUAGUGGUUCAGGCACAAAAUGCUAUCAACCCACUUGACUUGCUUGACGUUUGGGCACAUUCAUAUACUUGCCCGCAACUCUUACGACAAGAUGAGAAAAUUGACGUCAAUGAAAUAAUCUAA
This 420-nucleotide ribosomal RNA is filed under the name Triticum aestivum (bread wheat). RNAcentral's name for it is "partial small subunit ribosomal RNA". Lineage: Eukaryota; Viridiplantae; Streptophyta; Magnoliopsida; Poales; Poaceae. The record is from RNAcentral.